This 406-nucleotide ribosomal RNA is filed under the name uncultured bacterium. RNAcentral describes it as "partial 16S ribosomal RNA". It matches the Rfam family "Bacterial small subunit ribosomal RNA", at positions 30 to 526 of the family's 1533-position model. The record is from RNAcentral.
AUUGAACGCUGGCGGCAGGCCUAACACAUGCAAGUCGAACGAGUGGGGGGCGGGUGAGCUAUGUCUGUGAAUCUUCCUGAGGGAGGGGGAUAACUAACGGAAACGGUUACUAAUACCGCACACCAGCAGCUGGGCCCAGAUGGGAUUAGCGAGUUGGUGGGGUAAAGGCUCACCAAGGCGACGAUCCCUAGCUGGUCUGAGAGGAUGAACAGCCACACUGGAACUGAGACACGGUCCAGACUCCUACGGGAGGCAGCAGUGGGGAAUAUUGCACAAUGGGCGCAAGCCUGAUGCAGCCAUGCCGCGUGUAUGAAGAAGGCCUUCGGAUUGUAAAGUACUUUCAGCGGGGAGGCGUUACCCGCAGAAGAAGCACCGGCUAACUCCGUGCCAGCAGCCGCGGUAAUUC